RNAcentral lists this ribosomal RNA (253 nucleotides) under uncultured bacterium. Its description in RNAcentral is "partial 16S ribosomal RNA". It matches the Rfam family "Bacterial small subunit ribosomal RNA", at positions 524 to 776 of the family's 1533-position model. The record is from RNAcentral.
UACGGAGGGUGCAAGCGUUAAUCGGAAUUACUGGGCGUAAAGCGCGCGUAGGCGGCCAUGUAAGUCGGUUGUGAAAUCCCCGGGCUCAACCUGGGAAUUGCAUUCGAUACUGCAUGGCUGGAGUAUGGUAGAGGGUAGUGGAAUUCCGGGUGUAGCGGUGAAAUGCGUAGAUAUCCGGAGGAACACCAGUGGCGAAGGCGGCUACCUGGACCAAUACUGACGCUGAGGCGCGAAAGCGUGGGGAGCAAACAGG